CAUUGUUACCAUGGCAACUGUUGGUAAAUUUUACUGGUUCAGUUUCAUUUGUUGCUGUCUAGUAGAACUCACAAUGAAUGGUCAAACAAUGAUCACUUUCAUUUCUUGACUUUCAUUUUUAUUUAUCUCUUGAAUGAAAUUAUCCAACACUAUGGUAUCUUAUAAUAUGAGGGUGGUUAUGGUGUAAUGGUAAAGUUAUUCCGCUUGUGACCUGGAGGUCAUGGGUUUGAGAUACAAAAACAAUCUCUUUGGCAGAGGUAAGGCUGUGUACAUCAACCCUCCCCAGAGCCCACAAGUGUGCGAUACUUCGUGCACUGGGUCACCCUUUUUAUGAUGUCUUAUAAUAUAUACGGUCAUGCAUUCUGAACCAUGAAUCUUAUUUUGUUGAUUUUUCACAUAGAGACAAGUAAUUAACAAAUAGCAAUAUGCAUUGAAUUUCUAACAUUCAUUUUCAAGUAUUUUCUUCUUGUUUUCUUUGGAUUGUCAAUAUAAGAUGGUGCCUAUUGAAAGCUCAAAAGUUGUAAACGAAGGUCAAUGAAUUUCAUUGACUUACCGAAAAUGAUAAGCAAAUUAGUUUAUUGUUUAUUAGAUUGCGCUGCUUACUACAAACAGUAUUAUUGGAAACACACAUUGAAUUUAAGAUUCUCAAGUUUGCAAAUCCAUCUUACUAAAAUAAAUGUUUCAGUUUUCAUUUGACCAAACUUCCUUUGUUGCACAAUACUCUUUUAUAAUUUUGGUGUCAAGCACACGUUUUCUUAGGUUUAGAGGUUUAUUUGUCCCUUUUUUUCU
This 789-nucleotide unclassified non-coding RNA is filed under the name Hevea brasiliensis (rubber tree). The record is from RNAcentral. Lineage: Eukaryota; Viridiplantae; Streptophyta; Magnoliopsida; Malpighiales; Euphorbiaceae.